Molecule: long non-coding RNA, 835 nt
Filed under: Musa acuminata (dwarf banana)
Lineage: Eukaryota; Viridiplantae; Streptophyta; Magnoliopsida; Zingiberales; Musaceae
Description: long non-coding RNA (MACU_LNC008141)
Source: RNAcentral
UCCCCUUCCACUCCAAUCAAAUAAGUGUUAGCGGUGCGAGUACCGUUUAUAGUGCUGUCGGUUCUUCAAGUUUCAACUGAGCAAUUAUAUCUUCUUCUUGUUCAGGUGUUUAAGCGAGAGUUCCGUGUAAGGAUGCAGGCUCAGAAACAAGUAAUACUGUUUUGGGUGCGAGUCAAGUAAACUAUACUCUACUUAUACUCGGUAUCCACUAUACUAUACGGAAACUACAGCUAAUUAAACAAAAACGACUUACUUGUUCAAUUCGGGAAUAAUUCCGUUUGGGCGAGGAAAGCCUAGUUCGUCAAUUGUUCUAGUUAGGCUAUUUUAGGCUAUUACUAUAUUUAUUCUGACUCCAUUCUAUCUUAUGCGUGCGCCCUCUGAAAGCAACAAAUAAUGACAUUUAAAGCGGGUUUGCUCUUAAGCUCCCAGCAGGACAAUAAAGAUAAUCAUUAGCCGAAGGGGAGCUGCUCCUAGGCAAUUCCAUUCUGACUUGCUUCAUUCUUUUCCUAGGGGGGUGUAAUAGACAUCUACCGGUAAAUAAGAUGUAUUCUUCUGAGAGUCCUGAAUAAACCUCCCUCUCGGCAAUCCAGUAAAGUAGUACAAUACCUCUCCUCCUUUCCCGAAGUGUUACCUCAUUCUAUCGGAUCUCACUCAUUCCUCAGUGCAAGGAAAGCCGACAAGAGAAUCUACUGUGCCAGGAAAGUCAACUUGUUCUAGUUCUGUUGGCAACAAUCGGUUCUUCAAAUGAGAGUCACGUUCUAGUUGUUGGCUUAGAGUCCCUUUCCGUUCUUGUGUUUGAUGAGCUUUCCCCGUAGAGCUCAGUUCUUGGCUUUAC